RNAcentral lists this ribosomal RNA (253 nucleotides) under uncultured bacterium. RNAcentral describes it as "partial 16S ribosomal RNA". It matches the Rfam family "Bacterial small subunit ribosomal RNA", at positions 524 to 776 of the family's 1533-position model. The record is from RNAcentral.
UACGUAGGGUGCAAGCGUUGUCCGGAAUUAUUGGGCGUAAAGAGCUCGUAGGCGGUUUGUCGCGUCGGCUGUGAAAACUCGGGGCUCAACCCCGAGCCUGCAGUCGAUACGGGCAGACUAGAGUGCUGUAGGGGAGACUGGAAUUCCUGGUGUAGCGGUGAAAUGCGCAGAUAUCAGGAGGAACACCGGUGGCGAAGGCGGUUCUCUGGGCCUUACCUGACGCUGAGGAGCGAAAGCGUGGGGAGCAAACAGG